CCUACGGGAGGCAGCAGUGGGGAAUUUUGGACAAUGGGCGCAAGCCUGAUCCAGCAAUGCCGCGUGAGUGAAGAAGGCCUUCGGGUUGUAAAGCUCUUUUGUCAGGGAAGAAACGGUGGGAGCUAAUAUCUCCUACUAAUGACGGUACCUGAAGAAUAAGCACCGGCUAACUACGUGCCAGCAGCCGCGGUAAUACGUAGGGUGCAAGCGUUAAUCGGAAUUACUGGGCGUAAAGCGUGCGCAGGCGGUUUUGUAAGUCUGUCGUGAAAGCCCCGGGCUCAACCUGGGAAUUGCGAUGGAGACUGCAAGGCUUGAAUCUGGCAGAGGGGGGUAGAAUUCCACGUGUAGCAGUGAAAUGCGUAGAGAUGUGGAGGAACACCGAUGGCGAAGGCAGCCCCCUGGGUCAAGAUUGACGCUCAUGCACGAAAGCGUGGGGAGCAAACAGGAUUAGAUACCCUGGUAGUCCACGCCCUAAACGAUGUCUACUAGUUGUCGGGUUUUAAUUAACUUGGUAACGCAGCUAACGCGUGAAGUAGACCGCCUGGGGAUACGGUCGCAAGNUUAAAACNCAAAUGAGUAGACGNGNGAGAGNGCGAGACGACGACGAGGGAGGAGG
RNAcentral lists this ribosomal RNA (616 nucleotides) under uncultured bacterium. RNAcentral describes it as "bacterial SSU rRNA". It matches the Rfam family "Bacterial small subunit ribosomal RNA", at positions 338 to 948 of the family's 1533-position model. The record is from RNAcentral.